GGUCCCUUCGUCUAGAGGCCUAGGACUCAGGGUUUUCAUCCCUGCAACACGGGUUCGAACCCCGUAGGGACCACCA
This 76-nucleotide transfer RNA is filed under the name Candidatus Latescibacterota bacterium. RNAcentral describes it as "tRNA-Glu". It matches the Rfam family "tRNA". Rfam says of the family: Transfer RNA (tRNA) molecules are approximately 80 nucleotides in length. Their secondary structure includes four short double-helical elements and three loops (D, anti-codon, and T loops). Further hydrogen bonds mediate the characteristic L-shaped molecular structure. tRNAs have two regions of fundamental functional importance: the anti-codon, which is responsible for specific mRNA codon recognition, and the 3' end, to which the tRNAs corresponding amino acid is attached (by aminoacyl-tRNA synthetases). tRNAs cope with the degeneracy of the genetic code in two manners: having more than one tRNA (with a specific anti-codon) for a particular amino acid; and 'wobble' base-pairing, i.e. permitting non-standard base-pairing at the 3rd anti-codon position. Lineage: Bacteria; Pseudomonadati; Candidatus Latescibacterota. The record is from RNAcentral.